RNAcentral lists this ribosomal RNA (492 nucleotides) under uncultured bacterium. RNAcentral describes it as "partial 16S ribosomal RNA". It matches the Rfam family "Bacterial small subunit ribosomal RNA", at positions 29 to 507 of the family's 1533-position model. The record is from RNAcentral.
AGUGAACGCUGGCGGUAGGCCUAACACAUGCAAGUCGAACGGCAGCACAGUAAGAGCUUGCUCUUACGGGUGGCGAGUGGCGGACGGGUGAGGAAUACAUCGGAAUAUACUUUUUCGUGAGGGAUAACGUAGGGAAACUUACGCUAAUACCGCAUACGACCUACGGGUGAAAGCAGGGGAUCUUCGGACCUUGAGCGAUUGAAUGAGCCGAUGUCGGAUUAGCUAGUUGGCGGGGUAAAGGCCCACCAAGGCGACGAUCCGUAGCUGGUCUGAGAGGAUGAUCGGCCACACUAGAUCUGAGACACGUUCCAGACUCCUACGGGAGGCAGCAGUGGGGAAUAUUGGACAAUGGGCGCAAGCCUGAUCCAGCCAUACCGCGUGGGUGAAGAAGGCCUUCGGGUUGUAAAGCCCUUUUGUUGGGAAAGAAAAGCAGCAGGUUAAUACCCCGCUGUUCUGACGGUACCCAAAGAAUAAGCACCGGCUAACUUCGUG